This 200-nucleotide ribosomal RNA is filed under the name uncultured bacterium. Its description in RNAcentral is "partial 16S ribosomal RNA". It matches the Rfam family "Bacterial small subunit ribosomal RNA", at positions 30 to 233 of the family's 1533-position model. The record is from RNAcentral.
AUUGAACGCUGGCGGCAGGCCUAACACAUGCAAGUCGAGCGCGAAAGUUCUUCGGAAUGAGUAAAGCGGCGGACGGGUGAGUAAUACAUGGGAAUCUGCCUGGUAGUGGGGGACGACGUUUCGAAAGGAACGCUAAUACCGCAUACGCCCUACGGGGGAAAGGGGGGGAUCGCAAGACCUCUCGCUAUCAGAUGAGCCCA